This 462-nucleotide small RNA is filed under the name Histoplasma capsulatum var. duboisii H88. Its description in RNAcentral is "Histoplasma capsulatum H88 hypothetical RNA". Lineage: Eukaryota; Fungi; Ascomycota; Eurotiomycetes; Onygenales; Ajellomycetaceae. The record is from RNAcentral.
ACCGACAAGCAAUGGAUCAUGUUCGAAUUGCCAGACCCUGAAUCAAGAAUGCAAGUGGGUAUAUAUCAAUGAUUCUGCAAGGUGCGCUAGAGCUGAUCACGUAGGCCACACAUUCGAAAGAGACGACGAAAAGCGGAGUCCUGACAUUGGAAUCUUGGGUUAAACUUUUAUAUGUUCUUGGCACUGUUUUGCUUUCGCAAGCAUUACGUCCGGCACAAUAUGUGAUGGAGGUGGAAGGUUGGUCGAUUGUAACUAUCUAGCGGGCGCAGCACUGCUUAAAUAGGUGUGGUUACGUGGCAUUCUAGCGAGCCAUAGGGAUGCCAACACUAUGUCCAUUUUAUCCCAAUUGCAGAAAACAACAGCGACAGCUAACUGGUUUCUUACCCCUAUAAACUGUACAUCUGCUGUCGCAGGAAGGUAGUGAAAGGGCGGUUAAGUUGAAAUACAGUGUGUGCGGCCCGG